CCAGUUACCGAGGCCGUAUGUACGUGGUGGAGCGGGGAGAGUUCAGCAGCUGCCACGAGUGGCACGCGCAGAGGCCAAAUGUCCAGUCCAUCAGAAGAGUCAUCAACUACUACUAGCGAGGCGGUUGUAGUACUGGUGGUGUCCUGCUGCAAGCCGGGGGCUCUCCUCCCUUCCUGCUCACUGACAUGUGGAAUAAAUUCUUAAACAUCAGCUUCGGGCUCUAAGUAUUUUUUUUCCCCCUCACUUGCAUGACUCCAGGGGGAACUGUAACCUUUGUUAGCUUGAUUUCCACACUGUGAUUUUACUUUUUUAUCAUGCAGUAAUUUAUAAGGAGGACAGAAGGGUGACGUGACAGGCCUCCUCCCAGCAGGACACCAGAAGUGGUGGUGACAAGCAGCUCCAGGACACCUCCCAGUGUGCCCCCUUGCUGUGGUUCUGCUCUGGCAUGUGUUCGCUCUGCCCCAGGACUCUCAGUGCCUUGAGGAGGGUCACGUUAUGGCACGUGUGUUGCAGCAAAAAGGCGCUCCCAGCCCAUUUCCAUCUUCAGUUAUUUCAAUGCGCCCCAUCCCCAUUUGCCGCUUGGCAGCUCUUCCUUGUCUUCUGCGCAUGGCGGCGUGCCGGGAUGGUGCCGAGACGCUAG
Molecule: long non-coding RNA, 640 nt
Filed under: Apteryx rowi (Okarito brown kiwi)
Lineage: Eukaryota; Metazoa; Chordata; Aves; Apterygiformes; Apterygidae
Description: lncRNA (ENSARWG00000004770.1)
Source: RNAcentral